ACGGAGGGUGCGAGCGUUAAUCGGAAUUACUGGGCGUAAAGCGCGCGUAGGCGGUUUGGUCAGUCGAUUGUGAAAGCCCUGGGCUUAACCUGGGAAUUGCAGUCGAUACUGCCUGACUAGAAUGUGGAAGAGGGAAGUGGAAUUUCCGGUGUAGCGGUGAAAUGCGUAGAUAUCGGAAGGAACACCAGUGGCGAAGGCGGCUUCCUGGUCCAACAUUGACGCUGAGGUGCGAAAGCGUGGGGAGCGAACAGG
This 252-nucleotide ribosomal RNA is filed under the name uncultured bacterium. RNAcentral describes it as "partial 16S ribosomal RNA". It matches the Rfam family "Bacterial small subunit ribosomal RNA", at positions 525 to 776 of the family's 1533-position model. The record is from RNAcentral.